This 129-nucleotide microRNA precursor is filed under the name Dasypus novemcinctus (nine-banded armadillo). RNAcentral's name for it is "miRNA (ENSDNOG00000037648.1)". The record is from RNAcentral. Lineage: Eukaryota; Metazoa; Chordata; Mammalia; Cingulata; Dasypodidae.
GGAAUGGAAUGGAAUGGAGUGGAGUGGAGUGGAGUGGAAUGGAAUGGAGUGGAAUGGAAUGGAGUGGAGUGGAAUGGAAUGGAGUGGAAUGGAGUGGAAUAGAAAACACCUCCACCCCACCCCAGCCCC